This 521-nucleotide ribosomal RNA is filed under the name uncultured bacterium. RNAcentral's name for it is "bacterial SSU rRNA". It matches the Rfam family "Bacterial small subunit ribosomal RNA", at positions 778 to 1297 of the family's 1533-position model. The record is from RNAcentral.
AUAGAUACCCGGGUAGUCCACGCCGUAAACGAUGAGUGCUAAGUGUUAGAGGGUUUCCGCCCUUUAGUGCUGCAGCUAACGCAUUAAGCACUCCGCCUGGGGAGUACGGCCGCAAGGCUGAAACUCAAAGGAAUUGACGGGGGCCCGCACAAGCGGUGGAGCAUGUGGUUUAAUUCGAAGCAACGCGAAGAACCUUACCAGGUCUUGACAUCCUCUGCCAACCCUAGAGAUAGGGCGUUCCCCUUCGGGGGACAGAGUGACAGGUGGUGCAUGGUUGUCGUCAGCUCGUGUCGUGAGAUGUUGGGUUAAGUCCCGCAACGAGCGCAACCCUUGAUCUUAGUUGCCAGCAUUCAGUUGGGCACUCUAAGGUGACUGCCGGUGACAAACCGGAGGAAGGUGGGGAUGACGUCAAAUCAUCAUGCCCCUUAUGACCUGGGCUACACACGUGCUACAAUGGAUGGUACAAAGAGCUGCGAACCCGCGAGGGUAAGCGAAUCUCAUAAAGCCAUUCUCAGUUCGGA